CCCAGUUUACAAUACAUCACAUUCUAAUAUGGCUUACAGAAUUAUUUUGUCUAUGUUAAUACACGACUAAAUAUAUGUAAAUCCUACAACUGCGGAGUCACCAACUCUUUGGUAUACAUAGCUUUUUAUACACAUAAUUACAUAGUGAAAUAAUUAUGGAACUAGGAAAAUUUCUCUAUUGCCCUGCGCCGAAGAAACAUAGCCUAAAUCGGAUUAAAGAAAAACUUACUUCCUGAAAAAUCAAACAAGACAUGUGAGUUUUCUAAGGAGUAAUAAUUAUUGCACAACACACGCAGUCACACAAAUGUGUAAACAUAUCAAUCUAGUCAUCCGACUAGUUAUAUGCUCACGCAGCCAGUCACACAAAUGGCAAAUCA
RNAcentral lists this long non-coding RNA (377 nucleotides) under Jatropha curcas. RNAcentral describes it as "long non-coding RNA (JCUR_LNC002271)". Lineage: Eukaryota; Viridiplantae; Streptophyta; Magnoliopsida; Malpighiales; Euphorbiaceae. The record is from RNAcentral.